RNAcentral lists this ribosomal RNA (253 nucleotides) under uncultured bacterium. RNAcentral describes it as "partial 16S ribosomal RNA". It matches the Rfam family "Bacterial small subunit ribosomal RNA", at positions 524 to 776 of the family's 1533-position model. The record is from RNAcentral.
UACGGAGGGUGCGAGCGUUAAUCGGAAUUACUGGGCGUAAAGGGCAUGUAGGCGGACCGUUAAGUUAGGUGUAAAAGCCCUGGGCUCAACCUAGGAAAGACAUUUAAGACUGGCGGACUAGAGUCAUGUAGAGGGGGGUAGAAUUCCAGGUGUAGCGGUGAAAUGCGUAGAGAUCUGGAGGAAUACCGGUAGCGAAGGCGGCCCCCUGGACAUUGACUGACGCUGAGGUGCGAAAGCGUGGGGAGCAAACAGG